GAGGUGGGAGGAUUGCUUGAGUCCAGGAGGUCGAGGCUGCAGUGAGCUGUGAUCACACUACUGCACUCCAGCCUGGGUGACAGAGCAAGACCCUGUCUCA
Molecule: microRNA precursor, 100 nt
Filed under: Chlorocebus sabaeus (green monkey)
Lineage: Eukaryota; Metazoa; Chordata; Mammalia; Primates; Cercopithecidae
Description: miRNA (ENSCSAG00000026497.1)
Source: RNAcentral